This 584-nucleotide ribosomal RNA is filed under the name uncultured bacterium. Its description in RNAcentral is "partial 16S ribosomal RNA". It matches the Rfam family "Bacterial small subunit ribosomal RNA", at positions 355 to 1375 of the family's 1533-position model. The record is from RNAcentral.
UGGGGAAUUUUGGACAAUGGGCGAAAGCCUGAUCCAGCAAUGCCGCGUGUGUGAAGAAGGCCUUCGGGUUGUAAAGCACUUUUGUCCGGAAAGAAAUCCUUGGCUCUAAUACAGUCGGGGGAUGACGGUACCGGAAGAAUAAGCACCGGCUAACUACGUGCCAGCAGCCGCGGUAAUACGUAGGGUGCAAGCGUUAAUCGGAAUUACUGGGCGUAAAGCGUGCGCAGGCGGUUUGCUAAGACCGAUGUGAAAUCCCCGGGCUCAACCUGGGAACUGCAUUGGUGACUGGCAGGCUAGAGUAUGGCAGAGGGGGGUAGAGUUCCACGUGUAGCAGUGAAAUGCGUAGAGAUGUGGAGGAAUACCGAUGGCGAAGGCAGCCCCCUGGGCCAAUACUGACGCUCAUGCACGAAAGCGUGGGGAGCAAACAGGAUUAGAUACCCUGGUAGUCCACGCCCUAAACGAUGUCAACUAGUUGUUGGGGAUUCAUUCCUUAGUAACGUAGCUAACGCGUGAAGUUGACCGCCUGGGGAGUACGGUCGCAAGAUUAAAACUCAAAUGAAUUGACGGGGUCAUAGCUGUUUCCU